This 881-nucleotide ribosomal RNA is filed under the name uncultured bacterium. RNAcentral describes it as "bacterial SSU rRNA". It matches the Rfam family "Bacterial small subunit ribosomal RNA", at positions 8 to 916 of the family's 1533-position model. The record is from RNAcentral.
AGAGUUUGAUCAUGGCUCAGGACGAACGCNGGCGGCGUNNNAAAACAUGCAAGUCGAACGGAGUAGCAAUACUCAGUGGCGAACGGCGGAGUAAUACGUGAACAACGUGCCCCAAAGACUGGGAUANCCAGGGGAAACCCNGAGUAAUACCGGAUGUGGCAACGAGAUGGCAUCUUCUCGUUACUAAAUGGUUUUUCGCUUUGGGAGCGGUUCACGGCCUAUCAGGUAGUUGGUGAGGUAACGGCUCACCAAGCCGACGACGGGUAGGGGGUCUGAGAGGAUGAUCCCCCCGAGUGGGACUGAGACACGGCCCACACACCUACGGGUGGCAGCAGUUGGGAAUCUUGCACAAUGGGGGAAACCCUGAUGCAGCGACGCCGCGUGGAGGACGAAGGGUCUAGGCUCGUAAACUCCUUUUUUCGGGAAAGACUUAGGACGGUACCCGAAGAAUAAGCACCGGCUAACUACGUGCCAGCAGCCGCGGUAAGACGUAGGGUGCAAGCGUUGUCCGGAUUUACUGGGCGUAAAGAGCGCGUAGGCGGCUCGUUAAGUGAGAAGUGAAAGCUGUGGGCUCAACCCACAAACCGCUUUUCAUACUGGCGAGCUGGAGUGAUGCAGAGGUGGAUAGAAUUCCCGGUGUAGCGGUGAAAUGCGUUGAUAUCGGGAGGAAUACCCAUGGCGAAGGCAGUCCACUGGGCAUCAACUGACGCUGAGGCGCGAAAGCGUGGGUAGCAAACAGGAUUAGAUACCCUGGUAGUCCACGCCCUAAACGAUGGAUGCUAGGCGUAGGAGGUAUCGACCCCUCCUGUGCCGCAGCUAACGCACUAAGCAUCCCGCCUGGGGACUACGGCCGCAAGGUUGAAACUCAAAUGAAUUGACGG